This 464-nucleotide ribosomal RNA is filed under the name uncultured bacterium. RNAcentral's name for it is "partial 16S ribosomal RNA". It matches the Rfam family "Bacterial small subunit ribosomal RNA", at positions 339 to 795 of the family's 1533-position model. The record is from RNAcentral.
CUACGGGAUGUGCAGUGGGGAAUAUUGGACAAUGGGGGAAACCCUGAUCCAGCAAUGCCGCGUGUGUGAAGAAGGCCUGCGGGUUGUAAAGCACUUUCGGUUGGGAGGACUGCUUCUAGCACUAAUAUUGUUGGAAGUUGACGUUACCUUCAGAAGAAGCACCGGCUAACUCCGUGCCAGCAGCCGCGGUAAUACGGAGGGUGCAAGCGGUAAUCGGAAUUACUGGGCGUAAAGCGCGCGUAGGCGGCUAGAUCAGUCGGGUGUGAAAGCCCCGGGCUUAACCUGGGAACUGCAUCCGAUACUGUCUAGCUUGAGUACAGGAGAGGAGAGUGGAAUUCCACAUGUAGCGGUGAGAUGCGUAGAUAUGUGGAGGAACACCAAUGGCGAAGGCAGCUCUCUGGCCUGAUACUGACGCUGAGGUGCGAAAGCGUGGGGAGCAAACAGGAUUAGAUACCCGUGUAGUC